CCCCUAACAACACUGAAAUAAAAAGUUACAAGUUAAUUUCAUUUUCCUCCUGCUCCUGGUUUACUGUUAUAAAUCUGGGUGAGAAAUGUUAAGAACUGCAUUUACAUAUCUCUAUUUUCUAAACAGAUGUAUGGCGAGAGGAAAAGCUAAGCAGCGAUUGCACUGGCAGGGAGCAGCUAGGUGGAAUUACCCUGAAUAUAUGGGAAGAAAAACCUGCAGUUUGUUACCUUCUCAAUUCUCUUCAAUGUUCUUUCUUUCUCUGCCCAGGCACUCUAAAAUGAAAUGAAAAAUCAGAGCAAGGCUGGAGAACUUUGUCUUCUCCCAGGACAAAAAAAAAAAAAAGCAGCUCAAAUUGAGCUUGGAAAUCCUGACAAGUUGCACAGCUACCAGAACAACUCCCGGGUUCAAGCCUUGCAAUGGCUUCACAUGAAGUCUGAAUCCAAAGGGAAUUUAACUCCAGGAGAGGUCAUCAGCCUGAUCUACUGUCCUAAAUUAUGCAGAUCAAAUCAGAUGACUGGACCCACUAAUCAUAAAUCAGCUGAAAAAUAUAAUUCAUACUCCAAGACUGGUGGGAGAUUAAUUCACAACAACUCCCACCUGACUCCAUGUCUUGGGAACCAGUCUACAAUGUUCCCCUGGGAAAGGGAUGGAUGCAGCAAAGAAGAGCCAGAAUGCCAAAGGACUGGUCUGGAUGCCCCCUGCCCCAGCAGUGUGUGAUGCCAAGCUCAAACAAGAUCCCAAUGUCUGAAGACAGGGAGUUGGACCUGACAAAACAGUCACCAUCAAGCAAGCUGGGCCAUCAAGCACAUCCCUCACUCAACACAAGAUCUUAGACCCAAUCCAUAUAAAAAUGAGGAGAGAAACAAUUCCAGUCAAAAUUUUGCUCCCCUUAUUGUCUUUCCAUGGAGCACAGCUGUGCCACCGAGGAACACUUUAGUGACACUGAAGGAAGAAGCUGUAAACAGCCAGGGGCUGUAUCACCUACCCUUGGAGAAAAGGUCCAAGUUUGAGGAUUUUUGGGCAGCCACGUGGCUCUCACUGUGUGAAUGUUACUCAGCACCUAAA
Molecule: non-coding RNA, 1065 nt
Organism: Agelaius phoeniceus (red-winged blackbird)
Lineage: Eukaryota; Metazoa; Chordata; Aves; Passeriformes; Icteridae
Source: RefSeq, a predicted model, not a curated record